RNAcentral lists this long non-coding RNA (839 nucleotides) under Homo sapiens (human). RNAcentral's name for it is "HSALNT0025349". Lineage: Eukaryota; Metazoa; Chordata; Mammalia; Primates; Hominidae. The record is from RNAcentral.
ACCAGAUGGACCUUGGCCACAGCUAAUCCAAAUGCACUUCUAUUUAUGAGCAAUGAUGUUUAACACCAAGUGGGAGUUGCUGUCCUGAAAGAGGGUCGGACAAAGACGAAAGCGCUCAUCCAGAGGAGCUGGUCCCGCAAGGGCAGAGGGGCCAACAGCUGUUGCUGACAAGCAGAGGCAAUGGAAGCUAAGCCUAGGAACAGGGCAAGCGAAAACGCCAUCUUUUUUCACAGUGAAUCAUUGAGUGUCGGCUGGGUGCAGCCAGCAAUCUCAUCUCUGGAACAAGAUCGGAAUAAAAAUAAGAUGAUCUAAGAGCCAGAACAAAUGGCAAUUAUAGGCCAUAUCUCCUAACUGUGUUUUUAGCUGGUGCUAUCUGCAAACUAGGAGUGACACACACAAUUCUGUGAAUUUGGGCCACCGUGACUGCCACUAUAGGACAAACAGCACACACAGCCACGUUCAGAAGGUUUUUCACUUCAGACGUACUGCUGUCAUGGCUGUGCCGAUACCGUCUUCUGUUUGCAGACUCAAGACCCUGGGCUGCUUAGGAACUACGAUGGGGGCUGAAGGCUGCUUCUGGAGACGGAUCCCCUCUGCUCCUCUGGCCCUGAUGACCCUGUCUCCUGUGGUCUUCAGCUUCUAUAACACACUGUGGCACUGACAGAAUUGCCAGACUUAGCAGACAAAAAAUAUAGGAUGCCCAAUUAAGUUUGCAUUUAAGAUAAACAAAUUAUUUUUAGUCCAAGAAUGUCUGGUGCAAUCCCUGAGCAUCCUGUAUUUCAUCUGGCAGCCCUAGGCACAGAACAGACACAGGUCUGCCAGGGAAACCCUCUGCCUUC